CAGCACUGAGGGGCUGUGUAACUGCCCUGCACUGGUGCCAGUUUAUGCAACUGCUCUCACUGCUUGUUCUUUGCCUCACCUACUCCUUUGUUGUGGAUAUAAAAACUGCUGGAAAGCAGGAAACUGGUUUAUUGAGCUAACCCCAAGGUUGAUUGUUGUCCCACAACUGGGAGAGCAGGAACAAAAGGAUGAGGUCUGGUGAAUGUGUAUCCAAGGAACCCAAACGCUCAUCAACAUCAGGUUAGAACAAUGUGAAUGAACACAUCCUGUCUGUACAAGUGCCUUCCUCCAGUUUCUACUACAGACUCAAAUCACCUUUAAGAAUAUUUUAAAUACAUUUUUUGAACUCUAAUGUAGUUAGAGCAUGUUGUCUUCUAGUAAAAGUUAGGAAAACCCUACAGUAAGCUUCAUUAAAUAAUUACAAAGAUUUGUGUCAGCAUUCUGCAA
Molecule: long non-coding RNA, 447 nt
Organism: Passer domesticus (house sparrow)
Lineage: Eukaryota; Metazoa; Chordata; Aves; Passeriformes; Passeridae
Exons: 3
Source: RefSeq, a predicted model, not a curated record